RNAcentral lists this ribosomal RNA (581 nucleotides) under Fiorinia phantasma. Its description in RNAcentral is "partial large subunit ribosomal RNA". It matches the Rfam family "Eukaryotic large subunit ribosomal RNA", at positions 537 to 837 of the family's 3401-position model. Lineage: Eukaryota; Metazoa; Arthropoda; Insecta; Hemiptera; Diaspididae. The record is from RNAcentral.
AUCUUGGCGGCGGAAUUCAGGAUGGCCAGCGGGCUUCGUGCUUGUCUGGUCGUUUGAUAUUUCCGUCGCCGUGUCAGACGUCGCGACCUGUUCGUCGUCGGUCCUUGCUCGGAGGAAUCGUGAUCGAGUUCGUUGCACGGUGCGUUUCGGCGUGCCGAGCGGCGAAGACGCGACUCUCUGGCUGACGACGGACAGUAAGCAACGGUGUCCGGUGUCGUGUCUCGUACUCGACGUCGGUGCCGGUCUGCGACGAUUUCUUCGGGCCUCUUUCCGACCCGUCUUGAAACACGGACCAAGGAGUCUAACAUGCGCGCGAGUCGCGGGGUUUCGAGCGUACCACGGUGCGCUCGUUACUUGCGAAACCCGUACGUUGAAGGCGUAAUGAAAGUAAAGAGGGAAGAUGGCGUUCCGAGUCCACGUACCGUGAUCGAGUGUCGCGGCCGGACGUCCGCACUCCCGGGGCGUCUCAAUGGCUCGUCGCGGAUGCGGACGGUCGUCUCUCGGGACGGCUGUCGGUCUGCGACGGACCGAGGCGCACCUAUAGCGUGCACGUUGGUACCCGAAAGAUGGUGAACUAUGCC